GGUAGCAAUACUAAAGAAAUAUUACACAUGUAUGUUACACUCUAGGUUCUGUGGUAGCGGCGAUUCAGAACCUUCGGCAAGGGAUAGCUCGAAAUACGCGGGCAAGCACGGCAGCAUAUCAUGGCGUCUUUGUUGCUCUGCAUCCCGCGCAUCGCCCGCUUCGUUCUUUUCCCCCGAAUUCCCCGCUUCAUUCACAAACCGCCCGUGAGGUUUCUAACCCGAAGAGUUUCAAUCGAUCAUUUCUCCUGCUCCUCUAGCACUGCCACUUCUUCAUCUCCUUCCACCCCGAGUUCUUCUCUUUCUCCUACUCCUGUGGCUGAAAACGUAUCCCCUGAUCGGACUUCCGAAAGCCUAGCAGAGUAUUCAAUGCAAUGGGUCUCUCCUACGGUCUCUUGCAGCGAGCUUGGCGUCGAAGAUGUUGGCAGGCGUGUCCGACUUUGCGGCUGGGUCGCGCUUCGUAGGGUUCAUAGGGGCCUCACCUUUCUGAACCUCAGAGAUGACUCUGGAAUUGUUCAAGUUGCCACGCUGCCUGAUGAGUUUCCGGAGGCGCAUGCAGCUGCGAACAAGUUGGGGCUUGAAUGGGUCAUUGCCAUAGACGGCACAGUGCGAGCUCGGCCGAAUGAGUCGGUUAACCAAAAAAUGAAAACUGGGGCGGUAGAGGUUAUUGCUGAGCAUGUUGUUGUAUUGAACACUGUCAACUGUACACUACCUUUUCCAAUUACUACUGUAGAUGAUCUAAAUGUUAACAUCUCUGAGGAGAUACGCUUGAGAUAUCGAGCCCUAGAUCUGCGACGGCCACAGAUGCAGUUCAACCUGCGAAUGCGGUAUAACGUGAUUGAGAGCAUUCGAUCUUUUCUAAAGAAGCAUAAAUUUGUUGAGCUUGAGACUCCAAUCUUGUCUAAAUCCACACCUGAAGGUGCUCGAGAUUAUCUAGUGCCAUCUCGUGUUCAGCCAGGAAUGUUUUAUGCACUACCUCAAAGCCCACAAUUGUUUAAACAAAUGUGCAUGAUCGGGGGAUUCAAGAGAUAUUUUCAAAUAGCAAGAUGCUUUCGAGAUGAGGACCUUAGAGCUGAUAGGCAACCCGAGUUUACACAACUUGACAUGGAGCUCUCAUUCACAACAUUAGAAGACAUCUUAAAACUUAAUGAAGAUCUGAUAAGACAUGUUUUUCAUGAGAUGAUUGGAAUAGAACUUCCAAACCCUUUCCCAAGGAUAACUUAUGUGGAGGCUAUGAAUCUGUAUGGGACUGAUCGGCCAGACCUCCGGUUUAGCCUUGAACUAAAAACUGUUACAGACAUUUUUGUAGGGUGUAAUUUUCAAGUUUUUGUGGAAUCUGUAACAAAUGGUGAGGUUAUCAAAGCAAUAUGCGUGCCUUCAGGUGCGGAAAAAUUUUCGAACACAGCUCUUAGAAAGGGUAAUAUAUAUAAUGAGGCAACAAAGGCUGGAGCUAAAGGUUUGCCUUUCCUCAAGGUCCUUGAUAAUGGAGAGCUUGAUGGCAUUCCUGCUUUGGUUUCAAGUCUCGAACCUGUAAAAAAGGAGCAAUUGAUGAGACUUCUUUCAGCAAAGGCUGGAGAUCUAAUUCUGUUUGCGGUGGGCCACCAAGCAGCUGUGAACAAAAUCCUUGACAGGCUCAGAUUGUUUGUAGCCAAUGAGUUGGGGUUGAUUGAUACUCUCUCCCAUUCGAUUCUUUGGGUUGUGGACUUUCCAAUGUUUGAAUGGAACUCUGCGGAACAAAGACUCGAGGCUCUUCACCACCCAUUUACUGCCCCAAAUCCUGAAGACAUGGAUGACCUUCCUUCAGCUCGCGCUUUAGCCUACGACAUGGUCUACAAUGGAAUUGAGAUUGGUGGGGGCAGUUUGAGAAUUUACAAACGUAAGGUUCAAGAGAAAGUAUUUGAAACUAUUGGCAUUUCACCUAGGCAGGCUGAAGAGAAAUUUGGUUACUUCUUGCAAACUCUAGAUCAGGGAGCACCUCCUCAUGGGGGGAUUGCAUAUGGUUUGGACAGGUUAGUGAUGCUUAUGGCUGGUGCAAGUUCAAUCAGAGAAGUAAUAGCUUUUCCAAAGACUGCAACCUCUCAAUGUGCAUUGACACAUGCGCCAUCAAAAGUAGACCCCCAGCAAUUGAAGGAUCUAGCAUUCCCUCCACGAUGAUGUAAUCACCUUUUGGUUUUCAUGCAAGGAAAUGACUAAAGAGAAUAUCAAAGGGGAAAACCAGUAAAAGGAGGUCAUUUCUUGCUCUUGAUGUAGGAAAAGAGGGGAUGAGGAUGAGGAGCAAGGAGGAUAGAUUUUGGAGGCAUCUAAUCAUGUUCUAAAACACCAUUUGCUUGCUAGUUCAGGACACCGCAACGAAGUUCAACAUAUACUAUAAAAAGUUGAUCAUUGGCGAUAGCCCAUCACAGUUUCUCAUAUGCCUAUGCCUGUCGAUGCGGGCCACAAGAACAACCCAUCCUUUCCUUUAAUGAUUGGUGAUUCUUACCAUAUUAUCUAUAGUGCUUGUCCAUUUGAAGAGCUGUCUAUCUAUGUCGUAACAAAUAUAAACCUUAUCCACAAUGUUUGACAGUAAUAACAGAUUAGAUGCUUUUAAAGCA
Molecule: RNA transcript, 2588 nt
Organism: Dendrobium catenatum
Lineage: Eukaryota; Viridiplantae; Streptophyta; Magnoliopsida; Asparagales; Orchidaceae
Gene name: aspartate--tRNA ligase, chloroplastic/mitochondrial
Exons: 18
Source: RefSeq, a predicted model, not a curated record